CCAAAUAACUGAACACUCGCCAGAAUGCCGGAUCUGGCAUUAAUUUACAUUGAAAUGUAUUAGUGCCGGAUCCGGAAUUAAAAAUACGGCAAUGCCGGAUACGUCCUUCUGGUCUGCCAAUGCGCAGACCUCUAAAAAUGUGAAAAAAAUUUAAUCAGAUCCGUUUGUCCGUAUGACAAAC
Molecule: long non-coding RNA, 181 nt
Organism: Bufo bufo (common toad)
Lineage: Eukaryota; Metazoa; Chordata; Amphibia; Anura; Bufonidae
Exons: 3
Source: RefSeq, a predicted model, not a curated record